Long non-coding RNA from Oncorhynchus tshawytscha (Chinook salmon), 5985 nucleotides. The record is from Ensembl. Lineage: Eukaryota; Metazoa; Chordata; Actinopteri; Salmoniformes; Salmonidae.
GUUGGGGUGGGGGAGAGGAAAGACAAAGGAGGGCCGUCCACAGAGCCACCAGAACCCAAGAAGAGGAAGUACAGCCCCCUUGAUGGUACGGCUGGCAGUAGUCUAGGUGCCAGGAUGCUGCAGGGAGGGGUGAAGAAAGGACUGCUGCUACGUAACAUGCAAGUGGACUGACCCCUGACCUUUAAACCCCGAUCUCUAACCUCUAACCCCAGACAUUCAACAUCGCACAGGACUAAGCUCCCUAGGUACAGAUCUAGGAUCAGCUUCCCCUCCCCCAAUCCUAACCUUAACCCUUUACACUCGUACUCGUAUCCAUCCGGGUUGAAAAUGGCAGAUUUGGGCACCAAUAAAUACCUAAAUUGGAACGUAAUGCUCAUCACAGCGAUGUAUGAGUUUUGACUGACAGACAUUCUGAACUUGAGAACCUCACGCAACGUAAAGCUGCAACCCAUCCCUCCUCGUAACUUUUGCAAAUGUUUUGUUGUCUGAGUGAAAAUGCUGUCAAUUAAGAGGACAAUAUGCAUUAUGUUGAGGAUUAUAAUAAAUAUCGCUUUGAUGUCAUGCAUCGCCUGUGAGUACAGUUACCAGAUGACUUAUCGUCAUACCCUGGGUUGUUCUGAACAGAAUGAGACUAUGGUUGAUGUAGUUACCAGAUGACUUGUCGUCAUACCCUGGGUUGUUCUGAACAGAAUGAGACUAUGUUUGAUGUACAGUUACCAGAUGACUUGUCGUCAUACCCUGGGUUGUUCUGAACAGAAUGAGACUAUGUUUGAUGUACAGUUACCAGAUGACUUGUCGUCAUACCCUGGGUUGUUCUGAACAGAAUGAGACUAUGUUAGAUGUAGUUACCAGAUGACUGUCGUCAUACCCUGGGUUGUUCUGAACAGAAUGAGACUAUGUUUGAUGUACAGUUACCAGAUGACUUGUCGUCAUACCCUGGGUUGUUCUGAACAGAAUGAGACUAUGUUUGAUGUAGUUACCAGAUGACUUGUCGUCAUACCCUGGGUUGUUCUGAACAGAAUGAGACUAUGUUAGCCUCUGCACACACACGUGAAUACGGUCAUCACUCCUUUCUCUGCACGCCAACAUCAUGGUCUGUUUCUCUGAAUUGCCUUGUGAAAGCCUAACACUGUAAUGUCAUAUUUUAUAUCUUAGCUAGUCAUGUUGGCAACAGAACAGGCUUUUAAAUGAUGCCCACCUGACCCAGAUUGCUAUUUAUAAUGACAGUGUUUAGUUUGCCUAAACAACAGCAGUAAAUGUGUGAUGACGAGGAGGAAGGGCUGUGUUCCAAAGAAAACAACUACAAGUGUGCUUCCUCUAGUUCCUCAACGGUCCAGCUAGGAGAGCUCAAAAAAGCACCUUAUAGCUGAAGACUUCUUUAAGUCAGAAAGGUGCAUUGAAAUUACUUAGGAACUAUGCACAGUUUGGAGAGGUGUGGCCACUUGGAGACGCCAGUCAGACCUCUCACUCAAACCCCACAGUUUGGAGAGGUAUGUGGCCACUUGGAGACACCAGUCAGACCUCUCACUCAAACCCCACAGUUUGGAGAGGUCUGGCCACUUGGAGACGCCAGUCAGACCUCUCACUCAAACCCCACAGUUUGGAGAGGUAUGUGGCCACUUGGAGACACCAGUCAGACCUCUCACUCAAACCCCACAGUUUGGAGAGGUCUGGCCACUUGGAGACGCCAGUCAGACCUCUCACUCAAACCCCACAGUUUGGAGAGGUGUGUGGCCACUUGGAGACACCAGUCAGACCUCUCAUUCAACCCCUUUAAACCCCAUUUUCCAGCAAUAUUCUUAACAUGUUACUGAAUAUAUCCAGAGUAUUUCAGAUUUCGUUAUCAACCAAUAAUGUGAAAAGUACAGUAUAUGUAAAAUGAACAUAAAAUCAACAGUGUAAUGUUUGAAUUCAGUCUUGUGUCAGGUGAACUGUUGUGUCCUCACCUUUGGUCUAAUAAUUUUCCCAUGAUCUCCAAACUGUUCCCUUUCAAUUGCUACCAUGGUUAUGCAUAUGCUUGUCAUAUUUCGUCUGUAAGAAACAUUUUAAUUCAGCCCUAUCCAUGUAGGCCAAUUCCCAGGAGUGUAAAGGGUUAACCGGAAGUGGGGGGCUGACCCAAGAUGAGCAUUUAGGGGAAACUGUAUCCUACUCCUCUAACUCCUCACACAGACAGGACUGGGACCAUCUGCUCUCCCAUAUCACUACUACAUAGAUAUAUAUAUAUAUAUAUAUAUAUAUAUAGAUAGAUAGAUAGAUAGAUAGAUAGAUAGAUAGAUAGAUAGGCUCCUGUUUUUAAAUUCUACACAUCGGAAGGAAGGAACCGAUGCAGUGUGGCCUGGUUCUCACGGAAAACUUCUCAAAUCUGUGGGAGAUUAACGCUAUGAGAGAUCAACGCUAUGAGAGAUCAACGCUAUGAGAGAUCAACGCUGUGGGAGAUCAACGCUGUGGGAGAUCAACGCUAUGAGAGAUUAACGCUAUGAGAGAUUAACGCUAUGAGAGAUUAACGCUAUGAGAGAUUAACGCUAUGAGAGAUCAACGCUAUGAGAGAUUAACGCUAUGAGAGAUUAACGCUAUGAGAGAUUAACGCUAUGAGAGAUUAACGCUAUGGGAGAUUAACGCUAUGAGAGAUCAACGCUAUGGGAGAUCAACGCUAUGGGAGAUUAACGCUAUGAGAGAUUAACGCUAUGGGAGGUCAACGCUACGGAAGGUCAACGAUACGGGAGGUCAACACUACGGGAGGUCAACGAUACGGGAGGUCAACGCUACGGGAGGUCAACACUACGGGAGGUCAACGCUGCGGGAGGUCAACGCUGCGGGAGAUCAACGCUGCGGGAGAUCAAUGCUACGGGAGAUCAAUAUGGAGGUGAUCACCAACAGUCAGUCAGCCAUGGACGAUAGAGAAAGGAGUUUUAGAUUCACGAAAGAUAACCGUCAUUUGUUUGAUUGGGUUCUGUAUGUAUGGCUUUGGUAUCAUACAGAGAGUGAGAUGACUGUCUCUAAUAGCAGCCCCUGUGACACCCUAUUCCCUACAGGCCCUGGUCAAAAGUAGUGCACUAUAUAGGGAAUAGGGUGCCAAGUGUCUGAAAUGGUACCCUAUUCCCUACAGGCCCUGGUCAAAAGUAGUGCACUAUGUAGGGAAUAGGGUGCCAAGUGUCUAAAAUGGUACCCUAUUCCCAAUGGGCCCGCUGGUCAAAAGUAGUGCACUAUGUAGGGAAUAGGGUGCAAUUUGGGACUUAUUAACUUAGACAAUGUGAGGAUUUUACAAUGAGCACUUUUUUUUUCCUUUUUUUUUUUACCCAGAUAGAGAUGGGGACAGAACAUUCUGAUAGUGAUCUGGCCUCCUAUGGACAAUGGACAUUAUAUCACACUAACAAUGCAUUGGGUGUGAACCAAUAGUAAUAUCAUUCUGAUAUGUGUGUGUAAAAAUUAAAUGUAUAUUGUAAUACAGUAUUUGGUUCUGGAAAAAAAAAGAAGAGAUUUAGUUUGUCUUUUUAUUUGAAAUACUGACUAUCAUGAUCUUUGUCUCAUUUUUAUAAUGUUUUUUUGUUUGAUCGGGUUGUCGGAUCUCAAUCGUUCAAAUUACAAAGCUCCAAAUCUUUUAACCCCCCUAUAACUUGACAGUACCUUGAUAAUUGUAACCCUAGAAUUGACUGGCUUGAUUAACUGGAGUGAUUAACUGGAGUGAUUGACUAGAGUGAUUAACUGGAGUGAUUGACUGGAGUGAUUGACUGGAGUGAUUGACUAGAGUGAUUGACUGGAGUGAUUGACUGGAGUGAUUGACUGGAGUGAUUGACUGGAGUGAUUGACGUUGACUGGCUUGGUUGACUGGCUUGAUUUACUGGUUUGCUGCAGACAUGUUUUGGUACCCUUCCCCAGAUCUGUGCCUCGACACCAUCCUGUCUCGGAGCUCUACGGACAAUUCCUUCAACCUCAUGUUUUGGUUUUUGCUCUGACAUGCACUGUCAACUAUAGGACCUUAUAUAGACAGGUGUGUGCCUUUCCAAAUCAUGUCCAAUCAAUUGAAUUUAUCACAGCUGGACUCCAAUCAAGUUGUAGAGACAUCUCAAGGAUGAUCAAUGGAAACAGGAUGCAGCUGAUCUCAUAGCAAAGGGUCUGAAUACUUAUGUAAAUAAGGUAUUUCUGUUUUUUAUUUCUAAAAAUUUGUUUUCUCUUUGUCGUUAUGGGGUGUUGUGUGUAGAUUGAUGAGGAUAAAAAUUAAUUGUAUACAUUUUAGAAUAACAGGCUAACUACACCGCUCGCGUUGCAAAAUACAUUUAGAAAUCUAUAUUAUUCAAUUAUUGCACCCACACUGCUCGCGCGCGCCAAUGAGCGUCUGUGUUACCAAGGGCUAAAAUAGAAGUCAGUUCUAUUUCUGACGUGGUUCGCGCUGCAAGUCCUGCCUCUCCCAUCUCUUCAUUGGUUUAUAGAAGCAGGUACUCACGUGUCAUCCCCUCAUUGGUUAUACCCACGUGGGUGACAGAAAGACGAACGUUGCCAAUCGCAAUAUAAAGUCAAGAGAAGAAAAAGCCUGUAAGAAAGAGAGAUGACUAGAAAUGACUCGGCUGACCGUUUUAUGUGUGGAUUAGGUGUCAGAGUAGAGGACCUUGUGCAUUUCAGGUAAAAUAACAACUCAAUGUUUAUAUCCCAGGACAAAUUAGCUAGCAACAGCAAGCUAGCUAAAUAGGACAAAUUAGCUAGCAACAGCAAGCUAGCUAAAUAGGACAAAUUAGCUAGCAAGCUAGCUAGCUAAAUUUCCAUACAUGUUUAAUGCUUUUCGACCUGUCCCCAAAUUAAUAUAAUUGGUUCGGAGUUUGUUUUGAUAUUUUAAGCUUGUUACACAGAACCCAACCCGGCUGCGUGCAUGCGCCAUCGUGCAUAAAUGUAUUAUGUCCCCCACACCAAACGCGAUCACGACACGCAGGUUAAAAUAUCAAAACAAACUCACACGUGGGUACCUGCUUCUAUAAACCAAUGAGGAGAUGGCACGUGGGUACCUGCUUUUAUAAACCAAUGAGGAGAUGGGAGAGGCAGGACUGGCAGCGUGAUCUGCGUCAGAAAUAGAACUGACUUCUAUUUUAGCCCUUGGCAACGCAGACGCUCAUUGGCUUGCGCAAGCAGUAUGGGUGCAAUAAUUGAAUAAUAUAGAUUUCUACAUUUAUUUUGCAACGCGCACGCGACACGAGUGGUGUUGUCAGCCUGCAAGGCUGUAACGUAACAAAAUGUGGGAAGAGUCGAGGGGUAUGAAUACAUUCUGAAUGCCCUUGUAUCCUCUGGCUUGUUGAUGUUCUCCGUAUCCACAGCCAGAAUGAUUUUGCAGUGCACGGUGAUCGAACAGAUAUCCUGUUUGUAUUCAUCAGAGGUGUGAAGGGAGGGUGAAGUCUGUGAAUCCCCAAAAUAGUAAAUAAUACAGAUGAUUAACAAAGCAUACACACAACAGUACUCACACCUUGGUUUUUGUGGUGAAUGUAAAUGGGGGGGAAAAAAACUGUUUUUCGAUAAUAGUUUUCAUACACAUACCUUGUCCAUAAUGUAGAGGCCUCUGGGAUUUUCAUUGAAGAGGUAAGGCAGGAGGAUGGUACAUGUGAUCUGUAUAACAUACCAAUACCUUUGUAUGCCUCCCCGUCUGUAUACCUGCAGAUACAGACACAAAGGUGAGCAGUUCAGUCAUCUGCACCCAAUACAGCCAGUCUUCAACAUAUCCUUCUUAGCACAAAUAUUACCUCUUUGUUGAUUGAUAUCCAUUGAAUUGUUUCGCCUAAUUUCCUCAGUAGAGUAGAGUAUUAAUUUAUUACGACAGGGUAGCCUAGUGGUUAGAGUGUUGGACUAGUAACCGGAAGGUUGCAAGUUCAAACCCCCGAGCUGGCAAGGUACAAAUCUCUUGUUCUGCCCCUGAACAGGCAGUUAACCCACUGUUCCUAGGCCGUCGUUGACAAUAAGAAUUUGUUCUUAACUGACUUACCUGGUAAAAUAAAGAAUGUAUCUCGA